GCGGAUGGCUGGAUGACCGCGGGGGCCAAAGGGGCGACCCUGGGCCCACGAGGAAAGUCCGGACUCCGGAAAGCACGGUGCCGGGUAACGCCCGGCCGGGGAAACCCGAGGGAAAGCGCCACAGAGAACAGACUACCCCGACCUGGUCGGGGAAAAGGUGAAACGGUGGGGCAAGAGCCCACCGCGGGACGGGCAACCGGACCGGCACGGCAAGCCCCACCGGGAGCAAUGCCAAAUAGGGGUUCCGCGCCGCAAGGCAGGGAUGCUUCAGCCCGAGGAACCCGGGUUGGCAGCUAGAGGUCCGUCGGCAACGGCGGAUCGAGAGGAAUGGUCAUCCAGGGGGCUUCGGCCCCCGGACAGAAUCCGGCUUACAGGCCGUCCGCGCGC
Molecule: RNase P RNA, 387 nt
Filed under: Rubellimicrobium mesophilum DSM 19309
Lineage: Bacteria; Pseudomonadati; Pseudomonadota; Alphaproteobacteria; Rhodobacterales; Roseobacteraceae
Description: Rubellimicrobium sp. MSL 20 Bacterial RNase P class A
Rfam family: Bacterial RNase P class A
About the family: Ribonuclease P (RNase P) is a ubiquitous endoribonuclease, found in archaea, bacteria and eukarya as well as chloroplasts and mitochondria. Its best characterised activity is the generation of mature 5'-ends of tRNAs by cleaving the 5'-leader elements of precursor-tRNAs.
Source: Rfam by way of RNAcentral